This 1029-nucleotide long non-coding RNA is filed under the name Anser brachyrhynchus (Pink-footed goose). RNAcentral's name for it is "lncRNA (ENSABRG00000012844.1)". The record is from RNAcentral. Lineage: Eukaryota; Metazoa; Chordata; Aves; Anseriformes; Anatidae.
UGCCUCCUCGGGGCCCUGAUGACCGUUCUGGUGCUGUCCUUUGUGAUAUGCGGUGAGUUGACACCCAUGGGUGUCCUUUUUGGGGGUGCUGGGGACUGGGGACACCCCCGUUUGGGCUCAGUGUCCCUCUCCCCCAGUGUCUUGGCUGCUGGUGGAGAGGCAACGGCUCCCGGGGGCCGUGGGGUGCGGGAACGCGUCGCGGGGACAAAGCUUUGCCACCCUGGACUGCACCCACCUGGGGCUGAGGACGAGCCUGUGCCCCCCCGGAGACGGUGGGGGCUGCAAGCUCUGUCCCGUGGGGUGGACGCUGCACAGGAGCAAGUGUUUUUGGGUCGCCAGCAAGAGCAGCUCCUGGAGGGAGAGCCGGGAGAACUGCAGCCGUCAGAGCGCCCAGCUGCUGGUGCCAGAGGACCAGGGCGAGCUGGACUUCCUAAAUCGAGUCGUACAGAAACCCACGCGCUACUUCUGGAUCGGCCUCUCCCGGCCCUCCGUGGGGACGGGUUGGACCUGGCUGGAUGGCUCCCGCCUGGACCAGAGCCGGUUCAACCUGAGCACCCUGAACGCCAGCGGAGCCUGCGGGGUGCUGAGGGAGGACAGGAUCAUCUCCGAAACCUGCGGCUCUGCCUUGGCGUGGAUCUGCCAGAAAGAGGCCGUCCUGCUCUGAGCGGGGCAGAAAUUGGGCGGCCACUUGGGAAAAAAAAAAGAACAAAAAAGAAUCCACUUUGCUUUCAAAAUAAAGUCUCACCCCUGUGGGCUUCGUGUUCUCUGCUAGGGCUGCUGUAAUUUCAGCGUGCAGGGGGUAUUUUGGAAGGGAUGGCUGGUGUGAAGAGGGGGAAAUGAGGUUCUGGGAUUUUGGGGAGGCAGGUGAAAAGGCAGCUUUUUUCUUUUUUUCUUUUUUUUUUCUUUUUUUUCCCAGAAAUGCUAUGAAAACGUCGGCUUGUGCAACCCCGACCUUGUGAGCUCCAGAGGAGCUGGAGCUCAUCCCACCUGCAGAAUAAAUGCCUUUUUUUCUUUCUGUAGCCCUUGGCC